AGCAGCCGCGGUAAUUCCAGCUCCAAUAGCGUAUAUUAAAGUUGUUGCAGUUAAAAAGCUCGUAGUUGAAUUUCGGGAUCAGACUGUCGGUCGUGCCUCGGUACGCACUGGCAUUAUUGGUUCCUACCUUCUGAAGAACCGCGAUGUCAUUAAUUUGGUGUCGCGGGGAAUCAGGACUGUUACUUUGAAAAAAUUAGAGUGUUUAAAGCAGGCUUACGCUUGAAUACAUUAGCAUGGAAUAAUGAAAUAGGACGUUUGAUUCUAUUUUGUUGGUUUCUAGGAUCGACGUAAUGAUUAAUAGGGAUAGUUGGGGGCAUUAGUAUUCAAUUGUCAGAGGUGAAAUUCUUGGAUUUAUUGAAGACUAACUACUGCGAAAGCAUUUGCCAAGGAUGUUUUCAUUAAUCAAGAACGAAAGUUAGGGGAUCGAAGACGAUCAGAUACCGUCGUAGUCUUAACCAUAAACUAUGCCGACUAGGGAUCGGAUGA
RNAcentral lists this ribosomal RNA (486 nucleotides) under uncultured Glomus. RNAcentral describes it as "SSU rRNA". It matches the Rfam family "Eukaryotic small subunit ribosomal RNA", at positions 569 to 1060 of the family's 1831-position model. The record is from RNAcentral. Lineage: Eukaryota; Fungi; Glomeromycota; Glomeromycetes; Glomerales; Glomeraceae.